GAUGAAGAACGCAGCGAAAUGCGAUAAGUAAUGUGAAUUGCAGAAUUCAGUGAAUCAUCGAAUCUUUGAACGCACAUUGCGCCCGCCAGUAUUCUGGCGGGCAUGCCUGUCUGAGCGUCAUUUCAACCCUCAUGCCCCUAGGGCGUGGUGUUGGGGAUCGGCCAAAGCCCGCGAGGGACGGCCGGCCCCUAAAUCUAGUGGCGGACCCGUCGUGGCCUCCUCUGCGAAGUAGUGAUAUUCCGCAUCGGAGAGCGAUGAGCCCGUGCCGUUAAACCCCCAACUUUCCAAGGUUGACCUCAGAUCAGGUAGGAAUACCCGCUGAACUUAAGCAUAUCAAUAAGCGGAGGA
Molecule: unclassified non-coding RNA, 348 nt
Filed under: soil metagenome
Description: partial contains 5.8S ribosomal RNA, internal transcribed spacer 2, and large subunit ribosomal RNA
Rfam family: 5.8S ribosomal RNA (bases 1-120)
Source: RNAcentral